UGCUAAGGUGUUGCUAGGCGGUUGCUAGGGUGUUCUGGGUGGUUGCUAGGUGGUUGCUAUGGUAACCUGGGUGGUUGCUAGGCGGUUGCUAGGCAGUUGCUAAGGUACUUGGGGUGGUUGCUAAGGUGUUGCUAGGCGGUUGCUAGGGUGUUCUGGGUGGUUGCUAGGCGGUUGCUAUGGUAACCUGGGUGGUUGCUAGGGUGUUGCUAGGCAGUUGCUAAGGUACUUGGGGUGGUUGCUAAGGUGUUGCUAGGCGGUUGCUAGGGUGUUCUGGGUGGUUGCUAGGCGGUUGCUAUGGUAACCUGGGUGGUUGCUAGGGUGUUGCUAGGCAGUUGCUAAGGUACUUGGGGCAGUUGCUACGGUGUUGCUAGGCGGUUGCUAGGGUGUUCUGGGUGGUUGCUAGGCGGUUGCUAUGGUAACCUGGGUGGUUGCUAGGGUGUUGCUAGGCAGUUGGUUAGGUACUUGGGGCUGUUGCUACGGUGUUGCUAGGCGGUUGCUAGGGUGUUAUGGGUGGUUGCUAGGCAGUUGCUAUGGUAACCUGGGUGGUUGCUAUGAUGUUACUAGGUGGUUGGUAGUUGUCACAGAUGGUUACUAUGGUGUUUUUAUAGAGUUCUUAGCAUGUUCUUAGACACUUUAGCACUUAGCUAAUCACUAUUAGCAUGUAGCUAUU
Molecule: long non-coding RNA, 670 nt
Organism: Ctenopharyngodon idella (grass carp)
Lineage: Eukaryota; Metazoa; Chordata; Actinopteri; Cypriniformes; Xenocyprididae
Exons: 3
Source: RefSeq, a predicted model, not a curated record